CCUUACCACCUUUUGACAUGCCCGGACCGCCACAGAGAUGUGGCUUUCUCUUCGGAGACUGGGACACAGGUGCUGCAUGGCUGUCGUCAGCUCGUGUCGUGAGAUGUUGGGUUAAGUCCCGCAACGAGCGCAACCCUCGCCAUUAGUUGCCAUCAUUCAGUUGGGAACUCUAAUGGGACUGCCGGUGCUAAGCCGGAGGAAGGUGGGGAUGACGUCAAGUCCUCAUGGCCCUUACAGGGUGGGCUACACACGUGCUACAAUGGCGACUACAGAGGGUUAAUCCUUAAAAGUCGUCUCAGUUCGGAUUGUCCUCUGCAACUCGAGGGCAUGAAGUUGGAAUCGCUAGUAAUCGCGGAUCAGC
This 361-nucleotide ribosomal RNA is filed under the name uncultured bacterium. RNAcentral describes it as "bacterial SSU rRNA". It matches the Rfam family "Bacterial small subunit ribosomal RNA", at positions 969 to 1353 of the family's 1533-position model. The record is from RNAcentral.